AGUGGAUGGGGAGCAACCUGGUUGUGCGUGUGUAAAGGUAGUGCCAAGAAAAGCGAUGAUCAUGUUGAAAAUCAAUUCCCGGUACCCGAAACCGACACAGGUGGGCAAGUAGAGAAUACUAAGGGGCGCGAGGUAACUCUCUCCAAGGAACUCGGCAAAAUGACCCCGUAACUUAGGGAGAAGGGGUGCCACCGAGAGGUGGUCGCAGUGAAGAGGCCCAGGCGACUGUUUAGCAAAAACAUAGGUCUCUGCAAACUCGAAAGAGGAGGUAUAGGGGCUGACGCCUGCCCAGUGCCGGAAGGUUAAAGAAGUUGGUCAGUCUUAGGAUGAAGCUAGCGACUGAAGCCCCGGUGAACGGCGGCCGUAACUAUAACGGUCCUAAGGUAGCGAAAUUCCUUGUCGGGUAAGUUCCGACCCGCACGAAAGGCGUAACGAUCUGGGCGCUGUCUCGGAGAGAGGCUCGGCGAAAUAGGAUUGUCUGUGAAGAUACGGACUACCUGCAUUUGGACAGAAAGACCCUAUGAAGCUUUACUAUAGCUUGGAAUUGUGUUCGGGCUUCCUGUGCGCAGGAUAGGUGGGAGGCGUAGAAGGUAUUCUUGUGGGGAUACUGGAGCCAACGGUGAGAUACCACUCUCAGGAGGCUAGAAUUCUAACUUAAUUAAGGACAGUUUCAGGUGGGUAGUUUGACUGGGGCGGUCGCCUCCAAAAAGGUAACGGAGGCGUACAAAGGUUCCCUCAGACUGGUUGGAAAUCAGUCGAAGAGUGCAAAGGCAGAAGGGAGCUUGACUGCGAGAAGUACAGUUCGAGCAGGGUGGAAACACGGUCUUAGUGAUCCGACGGUGCUGUGUGGAAGGGCCGUCGUUCAACGGAUAAAAGUUACUCUAGGAUAACAGGCUGAUCUCCCCCAAGAGUUCACAUCGACGGGGAGGUUUGGCACCUCGAUGUCGGCUCAUCGCAACCUGGGGCGGAAGUACGUCCCAAGGGUUGGGCUGUUCGCCCAUUAAAGCGGUACGUGAGCUGGGUUCAGAACGUCGUGAGACAGUUCGGUCCAUAUCCGAUGUAGGCGUGAGAAUAUUGAGAGGAGCCUUCCUUAGUACGAGAGGACCGGGAAGGACGCACCUCUGGUGUACCUGUUAUGAUGCCAAUUGUAAACGCAGGGUAGCCAAGUGCGGAGAGGAUAACCGCUGAAAGCAUCUAAGUGGGAAGCCCACCUCAAGAUGAGUAUUCUGGUGUAAGGUCACGGGAAGACGACCCGUAAAUAGGCACGAGGUGGAAGUGCAGAGAUGUAUGAAGCCGAAGUGUACUAAUAGACCGUCGGCUUGAC
Molecule: ribosomal RNA, 1324 nt
Filed under: metagenome
Description: bacterial LSU rRNA
Rfam family: Bacterial large subunit ribosomal RNA
Source: RNAcentral